Long non-coding RNA from Peromyscus leucopus (white-footed mouse), 1134 nucleotides. RefSeq lists it as uncharacterized. NCBI's taxonomy places the organism in Eukaryota, Metazoa, Chordata, Mammalia, Rodentia, Cricetidae. The transcript is spliced from 2 exons. The record is from RefSeq and is a predicted model, not a curated record.
CAUUGACAGACACAAAGGCAAAACACCAAUGCACAUAAAAAUAAAUCACUAAAAAAAGAAGACAUGGAACUGAAUAGCCUUGGGCCCCAAUACUAUGUACAAGCUGCCUAUCUCUUCUUCAGUCAAGCGUCUAGCCUGGAGGCUUUCUCUAAUUUUGGGCACCCAGCCCCAGAACAUUAUCUAAUAUGUCAACAGUUCAGAUAAAAGGACUUGUGCAGGUGGCUGGAGGGAGGCCAGAGCUGCUUGUGGGCCAGUUUCUUCCCAAAAGGCAGCUUACCUACUAGUUCCUCAGGGAACUUGCCCCACUGGGGAAGAACCCUCACUAACACCUCCAUGAUUAUCAAUGACCUAGGAGGUCUUGCUCUAGCUCACUUGCCCCUCCCUGUUCCCCAGGGGCUGCUCUCUUACACUGCUUAAGGUGGAUGGCAUUCAGACAGUCUGCACUGAGGAAGCAAAUGGGACUGAAGCCCAAUGCCCAAGCAUGUGCAGCUCCAUGAAGUCUACCGCUGUCUGAAGGCUUCGGGAGGGAGGCUGAAGGAGGCCCAGCCCUGACACCCUAAGAGGCAGACCUUCAGGAGAAGCAGCAGCAAGAUUCAGGGAGGGCCUAACCAGGGAGAUGUGAUGGAAGAGCAGAGGCCUUGGAAACCAACCGGAACCCAGAGGGGUGGUGUACACCGUAAUCCCAGCACUCGGGACUGCUGUGAAUUUGAGGUGUGGGCUACAGCAAGACUCUUUAAAAAAACAAAAAGAAAGAAACAAGUUGGCUUCCAGGUGUUUGACAGGCAUGAGAACUGCCCAUGAGGCCAGGGGACAAUGCAAGACACCUGCUGUGAGACACAAACUGUCAUCAUCUCUGCCUUAGCCUUGCUCUGCUGAGCUGGUUUUUACCCUCAGACUUCUGUCAACACUGUUACCACUUUACCUGGUGAGCUCAGCUCAGUCUUACCCACCUUUCCCAGAAAGGCCUCCUCCACUAACCUCCAGGUUGGUGUGAUGGCCACCAGCAUGCUUUUAUGUCUCUACCAGCAUGGGUCAGUGGGCUGUGUAUUUCUGAACCUCUCCCUGUCUAGACUGUUCCUAGAUCUUGACCCACUAGAAAAGAAGUACAAAUAAAACCUAAGCCCUUGGGAAUCA